CAAACCUCAAAGAAGAAGAAGUUUCUCUAUAGGUCCAAGGUGAAGCCUUAUUCUGAUUAAGCUUCAAUAAUCAAUUCCUUCUGGUGGGGCUUGAAUUUCCUGUCAAAAAGUAGAAGACAAUGCAUAUGGCAGAAUAAGAAGUGUUCUUUUUUUUUUAUACUACAAGCUUUCUUUUAGUUUUUGUUGAAAAUUUAAUUUAUAAAUUUAGAGUCUUGGGAUUUAUUUUAAUAUAUUUUUUUCUAUUAGUUUAUUGGGAUUUUGCUUAUUUGGUCUUGAAUGUAUACUGUGAUUCUGGGUAUCAUUGAAGAAAAAGAGAGGAAAAUAUGAACAGGGGAUGGACAUGUGUGUAAUGUGAAAAGGAAUUGUUAUUACCUGUAAAGUUUGUGUAAAUUUGUUGGUGUAUUAUCUCUUGUUCUAUGUUCAUUAAUAAUUUGUUAUCAACUUUGUUGUUUUUCCCUUUAAAGUAUUGUGAAGAUCUAAAAGGAAGGUCCUCUUUGUUUUUUUUUGUCUUUUCAAUCCAAUGUAAUAUAUAUUAUUCAUAAUGUAGUCAAAUUAUUUCUAAUUUUAAUUGGAUUUAAUU
Molecule: long non-coding RNA, 580 nt
Filed under: Durio zibethinus
Lineage: Eukaryota; Viridiplantae; Streptophyta; Magnoliopsida; Malvales; Malvaceae
Description: long non-coding RNA (DZIB_LNC001378)
Source: RNAcentral